Molecule: signal recognition particle RNA, 298 nt
Filed under: Cebus imitator (Panamanian white-faced capuchin)
Lineage: Eukaryota; Metazoa; Chordata; Mammalia; Primates; Cebidae
Description: Metazoan signal recognition particle RNA (ENSCCAG00000001508.1)
Rfam family: Metazoan signal recognition particle RNA
About the family: The signal recognition particle (SRP) is a universally conserved ribonucleoprotein. It is involved in the co-translational targeting of proteins to membranes.
Source: RNAcentral
GCCGGGCGCGGUGGUGUGUGCCUGUAGUCCCACCUACUCGGGAGGCUGAGGGUGGAGGAUCACUUGAGUCCAGGAGUUCUGGGCUGUAGUGCACUAUGCGGAUUGGGUGUCCCCACUAAGUUUGGCAUCAGUAUGGUGACCUCCUGGGAGCGGGAGACUACCAGGUUCCUAAGGAGUGGUGAACCGGCCCAGGUUGGAAACGGAGCAGGUCGAAACUCCCGUGCUGAUCAGUAGUGGGAUUGCGCCUGUGAAUAGCCAUUGCACUCCAGCCUGGGCAACAUAGUGAAACCCCAUCUCU